GCUGGGGGAUAGUGGCGAACGGGUGAGUAACACGUGAGUAACCUGCCCUUGACUCUGGGAUAAGCCUGGGAAACUGGGUCUAAUACCGGAUACGACUAUCUGACGCAUGUCAUGGUGGUGGAAAGCUUUUGCGGUUUUGGAUGGACUCGCGGCCUAUCAGCUUGUUGGUGGGGUAAUGGCCUACCAAGGCGACGACGGGUAGCCGGCCUGAGAGGGUGACCGGCCACACUGGGACUGAGACACGGCCCAGACUCCUACGGGAGGCAGCAGUGGGGAAUAUUGCACAAUGGGCGAAAGCCUGAUGCAGCGACGCCGCGUGAGGGAUGACGGCCUUCGGGUUGUAAACCUCUUUCAGUAGGGAAGAAGCGAAAGUGACGGUACCUGCAGAAGAAGCGCCGGCUAACUACGUGCCAGCAGCCGCGGUAAUACGUAGGGCGCAAGCGUUAUCCGGAAUUAUUGGGCGUAAAGAGCUCGUAGGCGGUUUGUCGCGUCUGCUGUGAAAGACCGGGGCUCAACUCCGGUUCUGCAGUGGGUACGGGCAGACUAGAGUGCAGUAGGGGAGACUGGAAUUCCUGGUGUAGCGGUGAAAUGCGCAGAUAUCAGGAGGAACACCGAUGGCGAAGGCAGGUCUCUGGGCUGUAACUGACGCUGAGGAGCGAAAGCAUGGGGAGCGAACAGGAUUAGAUACCCUGGUAGUCCAUGCCGUAAACGUUGGGCACUAGGUGUGGGGGACAUUCCACGUUUUCCGCGCCGUAGCUAACGCAUUAAGUGCCCCGCCUGGGGAGUACGGCCGCAAGGCUAAAACUCAAAGGAAUUGACGGGGGCCCGCACAAGCGGCGGAGCAUGCGGAUUAAUUCGAUGCAACGCGAAGAACCUUACCAAGGCUUGACAUGAACCGGAAAGACCUGGAAACAGGUGCCCCGCUUGCGGUCGGUUUACAGGUGGUGCAUGGUUGUCGUCAGCUCGUGUCGUGAGAUGUUGGGUUAAGUCCCGCAACGAGCGCAACCCUCGUUCUAUGUUGCCAGCGCGUUAUGGCGGGGACUCAUAGGAGACUGCCGGGGUCAACUCGGAGGAAGGUGGGGACGACGUCAAAUCAUCAUGCCCCUUAUGUCUUGGGCUUCACGCAUGCUACAAUGGCCGGUACAAAGGGUUGCGAUACUGUGAGGUGGAGCUAAUCCCAAAAAGCCGGUCUCAGUUCGGAUUGGGGUCUGCAACUCGACCCCAUGAAGUCGGAGUCGCUAGUAAUCGCAGAUCAGCAACGCUGCGGUGAAUACGUUCCCGGGCCUUGUACACACCGCCCGUCAAGUCACGAAAGUUGGUAACA
RNAcentral lists this ribosomal RNA (1324 nucleotides) under Paenarthrobacter sp. RNAcentral's name for it is "bacterial SSU rRNA". It matches the Rfam family "Bacterial small subunit ribosomal RNA", at positions 84 to 1419 of the family's 1533-position model. Lineage: Bacteria; Bacillati; Actinomycetota; Actinomycetes; Micrococcales; Micrococcaceae. The record is from RNAcentral.